UACAGGGGGUGCAAACGUUGCUCGGAAUCAUUGGGCGUAAAGCGCACGUAGGCGGUCUGUUAUGUCGGAUGUGAAAGCCCUUGGCUUAACUGAGGAAGUGCAUCCGAAACUGGCAGGCUAGAGUACUAAAGAGGGUCGCGGAAUUCCCGGUGUAGAGGUGAAAUUCGUAGAUAUCGGGAGGAACACCGGUGGCGAAGGCGGCGACCUGGGACAAUACUGACGCUGAGGUGCGAAAGCGUGGGGAGCGAUCCGG
This 253-nucleotide ribosomal RNA is filed under the name uncultured bacterium. RNAcentral describes it as "partial 16S ribosomal RNA". It matches the Rfam family "Bacterial small subunit ribosomal RNA", at positions 524 to 776 of the family's 1533-position model. The record is from RNAcentral.